Molecule: non-coding RNA, 2070 nt
Organism: Rattus norvegicus (Norway rat)
Lineage: Eukaryota; Metazoa; Chordata; Mammalia; Rodentia; Muridae
Source: RefSeq, a predicted model, not a curated record
AUGUAGAAUAGUUGACUGAUAAGUCCUGCCAAGACAGGGUGAUCAACCCUUCAAAAAUCUGCAUUUCAAGUCUGUCAGUUGAUUUUGGGCCAGAAGGCUGAAGACUUGCACUCACAUGUUGCUAACAGAGGACUGUGCUAGUGGAGAUUUGUCUCUACAACCUCUCAGUUCUGGAAGCCAUGUUAGGCUUCCUAUGUGUAUAGUUAUUUGGUCAUUCUCAGAUUUCUGACGGGAUUGAAGACAUUAUAUUCUCACAGCCUAUCAGGCUGUUUAACUUUGAAAAUACAUAUUUUAUUAGAUAGUUAUCAGAUAGUAUACAAGCUAGCCAAGAUAUAAUAUAGAUUUUAAGCCUUUAUUAAGCUGGAAUGGUUAACUAAAUGUUCUGUUUAACUGAUAAAGUGUUGGACUGGGUGUUAGAUAUAUUUUAUGCUUUUAAUUACAAAAUGAUAAUAGUUGUGCUCAGCUUAUAUUUGAGAGAAAAGUUUUUUUUUUUAAAUUAGACAAAAAGGGUGAAAUGUGGGAUGAUGACACACGUGAGGCAGGCACAAGAUAGAAUGAGGCCUGUCAUUGGAUGAGAAGGAUGGAUGGGUGGGAGAAAAAUUUGAAGGAAGAGGAGGAGUCGGGAAUGGAAAAGGAGAGGAAGGAGAGAAGCCAUGGGGGAGAGAACAUGGAGGCUGAAGUUAAGACUCCAUGCUGUGCCUUUACAGGCCUAAGUUCCUUAAUGCAGAAACUGAAUUCUACACCAGCCUCACGAGAUGGCUCUGUUGCGUCUUUUAUAGGGAAGUCAUGAAGGUACAGCAUGAUCACAUGUCUAAGUUUGCACAGCAGUUAAGAAUCGAAGCUGGCUCCAAGCCCAGAAGUUGCCUCAGACCUCUCACCCAUAUAAAGUGUUUUUCCGAGGACCCAUGAAAUACACUCUCCUUCCUAUGGUCUGGUAGGAUUAUAUUAGUACCUGCUUUGGAGCGAGUUCUCUGAGAAACAAUAUCCACAGGCCUGGCUCAAACGACAACUACCCAGUGGAGGUUAUCUGGGAUGUAGAAGGGACUACCUGGGGCCUAGAGCCAUGUGGCCACUUCCCCCAUUAUCUCCCAAGGGUUGUGGUGUCAUGAAAGAGAGACUGUAGCCAGGCUCUCGGUAGCCACCUGUGUCUUGCAUGAACCCUUUGCAAACUGUGUUACUGCAACACGUUUAUUGCUGGAGACUUACUAGUCUCAGUUAAGCACACCAGGCCUCUUGCUUGGCCGCUGCAUUCCCUCUGGUUGCCCUGUAAAUGCACUGCAUAUUGACUUCAUGACUGCCAUCUUGGUUUCCUUUCUAGAUGGAGAAUCUAAGGGGCGAAUGUUGGUUGAUUCUUCUCCACAGACUGCUGGUGCUGGAUAUCACAGAAGACAUCGCUGUAGACCUCCCACUCCGAUCUUACAGUCACUCCGGACAGUCUAACUGAAGCCCGGGUCACUACAGUGCCACUGAGACCUCCAAGGAAGGAGAUGCCAAGUAGUGCUUCAAAGCUUCGGACCACAAUCAAACACAGCAUCCUUUUCAACAGAAGCAGAAGCUCAUCUGAAUAUGCUCAAGGAUGCUGACAUCAACAUUUAAUCAUCUCCUCACUCAUCCAGGAAGAAGGGGAGAUCAGUUACUACUGUACUUUAUUGUGUUCAACCAAAUCACCAUGUUACAAAAAUAGCAAGCUGCCAUAAUAAAAAAUAAGGCUCCUCUAUCCAGCACCAGAUAGCAUCAUUUUACUUUCAAGCCUAGAAAUUGCACACUUGUAUAUAAACCAACCGAAGAUGAGGAUUGAGAGUUCAUCUUGGUGGAUUUUUCCUUUGAUGAAUAUGAAGUGUCCUUCCUUAUCUUUUUUGAUGACUUUUAAUUGAAAAUUGAUUUUAUUUGAUAUUAGAAUGGCUACUCCAGCUUGCUUCUUCUGACCAUUUGCUUGGAAAGUUGUUUUCCAGCCUUUCACUCUGAGGUAGUGUCUGUCUUUGUCUCUGAGGUGUGUUUCCUGUAGGCAGCAGAAUGCAGGGUCCUCAUUGCGUAUCCAGUUUGUUAAUCUAUGUCUUUUUAUUGGGGAGU